AGCUGGGGCGAGGAGGCCUUCUACGUUGAAGACGUAGAUGAGGCUCGCGCGCUGCUGCAAGAGCAGCUUCAGCCA
RNAcentral lists this transfer RNA (75 nucleotides) under compost metagenome. RNAcentral describes it as "tRNA-Phe". The record is from RNAcentral.